UGAAAGGAUCGGGUGAUAGCAGGCAA
Molecule: non-coding RNA, 26 nt
Filed under: Mus musculus (house mouse)
Lineage: Eukaryota; Metazoa; Chordata; Mammalia; Rodentia; Muridae
Source: RNAcentral